RNAcentral lists this unclassified non-coding RNA (414 nucleotides) under Hevea brasiliensis (rubber tree). Lineage: Eukaryota; Viridiplantae; Streptophyta; Magnoliopsida; Malpighiales; Euphorbiaceae. The record is from RNAcentral.
AUUUUCAGCGCCCAACAUAUGGCCGGUGAGGUAGCGGUGGAGGGUGCUGUGGCGGCAGCCGCGGUGGCGACAGAACUAGCCGAUUCCAGUCAGCAGUCCCAUAAAUUGGAGAGAAAAUGGACCUUUUGGUUUGAUAACCAGUCUAGGCCGAAGCAAGGUGCUGCUUGGGGCACUUCUCUGCGCAAGGUCUAUACCUUUGACACCGUCGAAGAAUUCUGGUGUUUGUACGAUCAGUUAUUCAAGCCGAGCAAGUUGCCGGCUAAUGCAGAUUUUCACCUGUUCAAAUCUGGAGUUGAACCGAAAUGGGAAGAUCCUGAGUGCGCUAAUGGAGGAAAAUGGACUGUCACGAGCAGUAGAAAGGCUAACCUCGAUAACAUGUGGUUGGAAACGUUGAUGGCUUUGAUUGGGGAACAA